GGAGUAUUUGGCAAUGGGGGAAACCCUGACCGAGCAACGCCGCGUGUGCGAUGGAGUCCCUCAGGGACGUGAAGCACUGUGGGGGGCCGCCAAACGGGCGGGCAGGAAAUGGCCCGUCCCCGAGGAGCCCCCUAGAAAGCGACUGCUAACCACGUGCCAGCAGCAGCGGUAAUACGUGGGUCGCAAGCGUUAUCCGGAAUCAUUGGGCGUAAAGAGUGAGCAGGCGGUCCGGGAAGUCCGCGGUGAAAUGCGGGGGCUCAACCCCCGCAGGCCGCGGAUACUUCCGGUCUGGGGUGCGGGAGAGGCGGACGGAACUCCGCGUGUAGCGGUGAAAUGCACUGAUACGCGGAAGAACACCGGUGGCGAAGGCGGUCCGCCAGACCGAUACCGACGCUCAGUCACGAAAGCGUGGGGAGCAAAUAGGAUUAGAUACCCUAGUAGUCCACGCCGUAAACGAUGGGGGCCAGGGCGCGGGGUCGACCCGCGUCCGAAGCAAACGCAUUAAGCCCCCCGCCUGGGUACUACGUUCGCAAGAAUAAAACUUAAAGGAAUUGGCGGGUGCCCGCACAAGCAGUGGAGCAUGCGGUUCAAUUCGUGGCUACACGUAGAACCUUACCAGGGUUUGACAUGCCGGCAAAGGCCCCGGAGACGGGGAGAUAGCUAUGCCGGACAAAGGUGGUGCAUGGCUGUCGUCAGCUCGUGUCGUGAGAUGUUAGGUCAAGUCCUCCAACGAGCGCGACCCCCGCCGCCAGUUGCCAUCAUCGAGUUGGGCACUCUGGCGGGACCGCCGGCGACAAGCCGGAGGAAGGCGGGGAUGACGUCAAGUCAUCAUGCCCCUUAUGCCCUGGGCCACACGCGUGCUACAAUGGCCGGCACAGUGGGAAGCGACGCCGCGAGGCGGAGCGGAUCCCAAAAGCCGGUCCCAGUACGGACCGGGGGCUGCAACCCGCCCCCGCGAAGCUGGAAUUGCUAGUAAUCGCGGAUCAGCCAAGCCGCGGUGAAUGCGUUCUCGGGCAUUGCACACACUGCCCGUCACACCAUGAAAGCCUGCAACGCUCUAAGUCGCCAGCCCGACCCGCGAGGGGGGGCGGCGCCCAAGGCGGGGCCGGUGAUUGGGGUUAAGUCGAAACAAGGUAUCCCUACGAGAACGUGGGGAUG
Molecule: ribosomal RNA, 1158 nt
Filed under: human gut metagenome
Description: bacterial SSU rRNA
Rfam family: Bacterial small subunit ribosomal RNA
Source: RNAcentral